Molecule: ribosomal RNA, 430 nt
Filed under: Bacillota bacterium
Lineage: Bacteria; Bacillati; Bacillota
Description: Firmicutes bacterium partial 16S ribosomal RNA
Rfam family: Bacterial small subunit ribosomal RNA
Source: RNAcentral
UGGGGAAUUUUCCGCAAUGGGCGAAAGCCUGACGGAGUGACGCCGCGUGGGGGACGAAGGCCUUCGGGUCGUAAACCCCUGUCAGAGGGAAAGAAGGGUGUCGGCGCGAUAACCGCCGGCAUCUGACGGUACCUUCAGAGGAAGCCCCGGCCAACUCUGUGCCAGCAGCCGCGGUAAGACAGAGGGGGCAAGCGUUGCUCGGAAUCACUGGGCGUAAAGGGCGCGUAGGCGGGAUGGCAAGUCAGUCGUGAAAUCUCUCGGCUCAACCGAGAAACGGCGGCUGAUACUGCCGUUCUUGAGGGAUGCAGAGGAGACUGGAAUUCCCGGUGUAGCGGUGAAAUGUGUAGAGAUCGGGAGGAACACCGGUGGCGAAGGCGGGUCUCUGGGCAUCUCCUGACGCUGAGGCGCGAAAGCGUGGGGAGCAAACGGG